RNAcentral lists this ribosomal RNA (253 nucleotides) under uncultured bacterium. RNAcentral describes it as "partial 16S ribosomal RNA". It matches the Rfam family "Archaeal small subunit ribosomal RNA", at positions 474 to 727 of the family's 1478-position model. The record is from RNAcentral.
UACCAGCACCCCGAGUGGUCGGGACGAUUAUUGGGCCUAAAGCAUCCGUAGCCGGUCCUACAAGUCUUCCGUUAAAUCCACCUGCUUAACAGAUGGGCUGCGGAAGAUACUAUAGGGCUAGGAGGCGGGAGAGGCAAGCGGUACUCAGUGGGUAGGGGUAAAAUCCUCUGAUCCAUUGAAGACCACCAGUGGCGAAGGCGGCUACCUGGACAGAAACUGACGCUGAGGCGCGAAAGCUAGGGGAGCAAACAGG